RNAcentral lists this ribosomal RNA (545 nucleotides) under Fusarium circinatum. Its description in RNAcentral is "eukaryotic LSU rRNA". The stretch from base 189 to 342 matches the Rfam family "5.8S ribosomal RNA". Lineage: Eukaryota; Fungi; Ascomycota; Sordariomycetes; Hypocreales; Nectriaceae. The record is from RNAcentral.
UAACAAGGUCUCCGUUGGUGAACCAGCGGAGGGAUCAUUACCGAGUUUACAACUCCCAAACCCCUGUGAACAUACCAAUUGUUGCCUCGGCGGAUCAGCCCGCUCCCGGUAAAACGGGACGGCCCGCCAGAGGACCCCUAAACUCUGUUUCUAUAUGUAACUUCUGAGUAAAACCAUAAAUAAAUCAAAACUUUCAACAACGGAUCUCUUGGUUCUGGCAUCGAUGAAGAACGCAGCAAAAUGCGAUAAGUAAUGUGAAUUGCAGAAUUCAGUGAAUCAUCGAAUCUUUGAACGCACAUUGCGCCCGCCAGUAUUCUGGCGGGCAUGCCUGUUCGAGCGUCAUUUCAACCCUCAAGCCCAGCUUGGUGUUGGGACUCGCGAGUUAAAUCGCGUUCCCCAAAUUGAUUGGCGGUCACGUCGAGCUUCCAUAGCGUAGUAGUAAAACCCUCGUUACUGGUAAUCGUCGCGGCCACGCCGUUAAACCCCAACUUCUGAAUGUUGACCUCGGAUCAGGUAGGAAUACCCGCUGAACUUAAGCAUAUCAA